UUCAUACUCCCUCCAUCCGCUAAUACUUGUUGCAAAAAUGAAUAAAAAUGGAUGUAUGUAGAACUAAAAUAUGUCUAGAUACAUCCAUCUCUCCGGCAAGUAUUUACAAACAGAGGGAGUAUCUC
Non-coding RNA from Triticum aestivum (bread wheat), 125 nucleotides. NCBI's taxonomy places the organism in Eukaryota, Viridiplantae, Streptophyta, Magnoliopsida, Poales, Poaceae. The record is from Rfam.